AAACUUUCAACAACGGAUCUCUUGGUUCUGGCAUCGAUGAAGAACGCAGCGAAAUGCGAUAAGUAAUGUGAAUUGCAGAAUUCAGUGAAUCAUCGAAUCUUUGAACGCACAUUGCGCCCGCCAGCAUUCUGGCGGGCAUGCCUGUUCGAGCGUCAUUUCAACCCUCGACUUCCCUUUGGGGAAAUCGGCGUUGGGGAACGGCAGCAUACCGCCGGCCCCGAAAUGGAGUGGCGGCCCGUCCGCGGCGACCUCUGCGUAGUAAUCCAACUCGCACCGGAACCCCGACGUGGCCACGCCGUAAAACACCCAACUUCUGAAC
Molecule: ribosomal RNA, 319 nt
Filed under: Akanthomyces lecanii
Lineage: Eukaryota; Fungi; Ascomycota; Sordariomycetes; Hypocreales; Cordycipitaceae
Description: 5.8S ribosomal RNA
Rfam family: 5.8S ribosomal RNA (bases 2-155)
Source: RNAcentral